This 521-nucleotide long non-coding RNA is filed under the name Rattus norvegicus (Norway rat). RNAcentral's name for it is "long non-coding RNA NONRATT020190". The record is from RNAcentral. Lineage: Eukaryota; Metazoa; Chordata; Mammalia; Rodentia; Muridae.
CCACGUGGUUCUGGUUGUUCUGGUUUGCAGCCUAGUGUUGUGUUUCCAGUCUAGCUCUCUCUCAUUUCUGCUGUGUUCUGUCUUUUUUUCUAACUCACUGUGUAUGUGUGCCUUCAAGUUCAUCCCAGGAGGUUGGGGAGGGGGUGCAUACAUCUGCCUUGCUAUCUCAGUGAGUCUUAUUGGCUUCAUCCUACUCCAGAAAGAGUCAUAGGCUCAUCGCUAAGCCAGAUACUAUAACCUGGCAGUACAAUGUGGCUGUUGUAGGCCAGCCUGAAUUUAGUGUGGAAUCUGCCUUUCCCAACCCACAGAUAAUGACUUGGGCAGGAAUGACUUCCUAAAGGACAUUCAGGGCAUACAUUGCAGCAUCAAAGAAUGACUAGUGAACAAGAUAUUUAUAUUUUAUUUUUCUCUAUGAAGGACAUGUGCAUGUGAUUUAAAAAGAUAGUAAAGAAAUAGCUGGCCAACGUGCAUAACAGAUGAAGAAAAGAUUACAUUUUCUUUAAAAAAAAAAGAAACAAAAC